This is an RNA transcript of Zingiber officinale, 1651 nucleotides long. It is a transcript of the gene named F-box protein SKIP24-like, with no coding region annotated. NCBI's taxonomy places the organism in Eukaryota, Viridiplantae, Streptophyta, Magnoliopsida, Zingiberales, Zingiberaceae. The record is from RefSeq and is a predicted model, not a curated record. The transcript is spliced from 6 exons.
AGAAAUAUUCCUUCAAUCUCUCUCGAUCCUUCUUCGGCGGACCGGCUGCCUAUCCGUCAUCUUCGUGUUGUCGGCGGCGGCGAGAGCAUGGCGAUGUUGCCGGACGAGAUAUGGGCUCAUAUCUUGGAGAUCGGCACCGACUCGGCCAGCCUCACCUACCGCGACCUCUGCGCCCUCGCCAUGGCUUCCCGCCGCCUCAGCCGCCUCUCAGCCGAACCCGCCCUGUGGUCUACCCUCCUCGCCAUCGACUUUCCUGACGGAGAAAAAGUCUCCCCGUCACCCAAAGCCCUCUACCAGACUAGAUUCAAGUUGGAAAAAGCAAAGAGGGCCGCCCUUCAGAGAGCGAAGAUGCUCUUCGCACAGAGUAAGGUAGCUGUUUCUCGGAAGAGGCUGCAAGAGCUGAAGUUGUCGUUGGUGCGGGAAGGCGACCGGCUCAAGGCCGCUGUCGAAGAGUUGAGAAACUUGGAGAGAGCCAGGACUGCAUCUGUUGCUCUAAAUGUAUGGCAGCCAGAGGUCGUUCGUGGGAGACAGAAGCAGAUAGUUGAGCAGUGCACUGUACCAAUCGAAUCUCGUGUCUGUGCUCUAAAGAUGGAGGUUCAAGUCUGUAAGCAACAGAUUGCUAAUUUUAACAAGACUUAUGAGGAGGAGAAGAAAAAAUUAGGGAAGCACAAACAGGCACUGGCAUCGCUGGAAUAUCAUCCACUUCAAAGCCAUUUUAAUUCAACCCCCAGUGAUUCUAACAAAAGGAAAAGACUGGAGUUAAGUAGUGAUUCAAAGCUUUCUAGUGCUGCUUUCGAAUGGGACGAACAAGAAAAGGCAGAGAGCUUCUGAUUAAGCUCUCUUUGUAUGCUGCAUGUACCAUAGCAUUCCAUCUUUGAUUACGAUCAACCUGCAACACAGGACUACUUACAGCUUAAAGAUCAUGUAUCAGCUCUCGCUUUGAAGCUACCUAAAGAAAUCUUUUCGACAAAACACACACACAAAGAAAAAGAAAAAGAAAGGAAACUCAUGUGCAGGGUCCUUGCACACAAGUGUUGUUUGAUGAUAUGAGGCGAUAAUACGAGUUGAUAAAUCGUCGGGCAACUAGUGAAUCUUUUUCAGAAGGAUCCCUCGGAGAGAUUGCUAUAAAAAGCUCAUGUUGUCGUUCGAGCUGAGUGGACUGGAUAUUCAUCUUUGUAACUUAAAUCAAAUUUGACGAUAGAUCAUAAUGGAGCAGGAUCUUCAGAAGCGGAUCAGGUCUGAUUGGAAGGAUUUAAUGAUUUUUAUUUGCCAAAUAGAUGAGGAUCAUUGAAUCCCUCUAAUCACUGCCCUUGAUCCGCGGGUGGAUCAGGGCAGAGGGGAUCAGAGGAUCUCGUCUGAUCAUAAUGAGAAUGUUAUUAUUUAAGAAUGAUACAAUAGAUAUAGUUCAUCUGAUUGAGAUAUUUAUUAGAAUUCAAUAAUAGAUGUUUUUGUUCGAAAGUGGAGAAGAUGGUUAGCUGGAAAUGUGGCUGAAAAGUUGAUGAAGUGAAGACUCCCCGUGGUUAUGUAACACAAAAGUGUCAAUACCGAGAUGGGAAGGGGUUUUCGGCGUUGGCUCUGUGAUGUUCAAAUUAGUCUCCGACGAUGUAGAAAAUAUCAAAAAUGUUGUAGUAAAUAUAUCUGUUCUUGUAGA